Molecule: ribosomal RNA, 499 nt
Filed under: uncultured bacterium
Lineage: Bacteria
Description: partial 16S ribosomal RNA
Rfam family: Bacterial small subunit ribosomal RNA
Source: RNAcentral
ACUCAAAUGAAUAGACGGGGGCCCGCACAAGCAGUGGAGCAUGUGGUUCAAUUCGACGCAACGCGAAGAACCUUACCUGGGUUUGACAUCCUCUGACCGCCUAUGAAAGUAGGUUUCCUCGCAAGAGGCAGAGAGACAGGUGCUGCAUGGCUGUCGUCAGCUCGUGUCGUGAGAUGUUGGGUUAAGUCCCGCAACGAGCGCAACCCUUAUUUCUAGUUGCCAUCGGGUUAAGCCGGGCACUCUAGAGAGACCGCCGGUGACAAACCGGAGGAAGGUGGGGAUGACGUCAAGUCCUCAUGGCCUUUAUAUCCAGGGCUACACACGUGCUACAAUGGCGUAUACAAAGGGCUGCGAACCCGCGAGGGGGAGCUAAUCCCAAAAAGUACGCCCCAGUUCAGAUUGGAGUCUGCAACUCGACUCCAUGAAGCCGGAAUUGCUAGUAAUCGCGGAUCAGAACGCCGCGGUGAAUACGUUCCCGGGCCUUGUACACACCGCCCGU